UUCGGGAGGGCGUUUACCACGGUGUGAUUCAUGACUGGGGUGAAGUCGUAACAAGGUAACCCUAGGGGAACCUGGGGUUGGAUCACCUCCUUA
Molecule: ribosomal RNA, 93 nt
Filed under: Aeromonas hydrophila
Lineage: Bacteria; Pseudomonadati; Pseudomonadota; Gammaproteobacteria; Aeromonadales; Aeromonadaceae
Also listed under: 5 other names
Description: partial 16S ribosomal RNA
Rfam family: Bacterial small subunit ribosomal RNA
Source: RNAcentral